UACGUAGGGGUGCGAGCGUUUGUCCGGAAUUACUGGGCGUAAAGAGCUCGUAGGUGGUUUGUCGCGUUGUUCGUGAAAAACUCACAGCUUAACUGUGGGCGUGCGGGCGAUACGGGGCAGACUGGAGUACUGCAGGGGGAGACUGGAAUUCCUGGUGUAGCGGUGGAAUGCGCAGAUAUCAGGAGGAACACCGGUGGCGAAGGCGGGUCUCUGG
RNAcentral lists this ribosomal RNA (214 nucleotides) under uncultured bacterium. Its description in RNAcentral is "partial 16S ribosomal RNA". It matches the Rfam family "Bacterial small subunit ribosomal RNA", at positions 524 to 732 of the family's 1533-position model. The record is from RNAcentral.